This is a long non-coding RNA of Solanum dulcamara, 1234 nucleotides long. RefSeq lists it as uncharacterized. The transcript has 3 exons. NCBI's taxonomy places the organism in Eukaryota, Viridiplantae, Streptophyta, Magnoliopsida, Solanales, Solanaceae. The record is from RefSeq and is a predicted model, not a curated record.
UGGGUGCUGUAGCUGAUUUGGGGGAAAGGGAACUGUCUACCAGUUGGGAAUCUAGACAUCAAGUAAGUGGUUUGAUGAGGAUAACUAAGCUGACACGCUGGAGUUGACAGCUCCAGCAUGAAAGUUCCAUUUCCAGGAAGGACGACGUACUAUGAUACUGCCUAUAUAAAGUGUUCUUUGUGCUAUAACGAGGGUGUAUAUCAAGUAUUACGUGAGCAUGUGAAAAGGCUAAUUGACCACUUAUAAGCAUAGUAAAGGGCUAUGUUGUUGCCUAAGAGGACUAUGAGCUGCCAAUGCGGUUAUAAUGAAGCCUAAAAUGGCUAUGUGCUGCUUACGGAGCUAUGAUGUUGCCUAAGAGGGCUAUGAGUUGCCUGCGGGGCUAUGUUGAUGCCUAAGAAGGCUAUGAAUUGCAUUCGGGGCUAUGAUGAUGCCUAAAAAGGCUAUGAAUUACCUAUGAGGCUAUAUGCCUAAGAAAGCUAUGGGUUGCCUAUGGGGCUUUAUUGUUGCCUAAGAGGGAUAUGCGCCGCUUUCGGGGCUUAUGGUUGCCUAAGAGAGCUAUGUGACUGCCUACGAUGCUAGAGGACUAACGAUGGUAAGAUAUAGACUAAAUUAGCAUCUCGUGGGCUUAUGGGGGCCUAGGUAGAUGGUAUUGUUUGUUGUUUCACUUGCCAAGUUUAUGAGGGCUUGGUUAGGUUGUUGUUUGAUUAUUUUUGGUAUGUUUAGAUUUGGAAGCGAAUUAGUAGGCUUAUCUUAUUCUUGAUUUCCUUACCUGAUUACUUUUAGUAUAUUAUGAUACCUAGUCAUUAAGUUUAUUUCCUUUUCUACUCAUUACAUUAUUUUGUACUGACGCCUCAUUACCUGGGGGUGCUGCAUUCAUGCAUGCAAGUCCUGAUAGGUGGCCUAAUAGAUCUCCCCAGCAGCACGGUUGAGUUCUAGCAAGUUUGCUAUCCCCUUAUUUCGGAGCUGCCAGAUAUCUCAGGUUCUUUGUGUUUUAUUGUAUAUAUUUUUGGGUAGGUCCCUUUGUCCCACUAAGCUUUACUACUCUUAGAGGCUUUCAGACUAGUGUGUGGGUUGUAUAGCUAUGCUAAUCGCGAUGUUGUCCUGGCUUGUUGGUUUGCUAAGGUUUGAUAGUUGUUUGAUGUAUUAUAUUUAUAUAUACCUUCUUUCAGCUUCUGUAUCGAGAUCAUGGUGGCAUCAAUGGCCCAAAGAGGACUUGUUUUCUAGUUGGCUAUUU